AUGCUCUGCUCAUCACCUACAGGUGCAAUUUCCUGCUCACAUGGGCACACACGAAGCCCACUGGAACACAGAGUUCUCGUUGAAGUUAGAGGUAGCCAACGAUGGAGACCCUGACUAUAUUAAUUGGAAGUCGGCAGAGAAUAGUGUGCAGCUCUCAUCUCAAGUGACGGAGCCAGGCAAGAGGAAAUGAGACCAGGAAUGCAGAGACUACUGAAAGAAGCAAGAAAAUUUGGUAGGGAGAGUACAUGGGGAUGAGCUUACCUUGGAGAGCAGAAGAAAAAUUCUGAGGCGUUCCUUGUGUCAAGGAAGAAAGCUGAUCAUUCUUGAGUCAGAUAGGUUCCAACCUCCUGGAAUGGGAAGAGUUAAACUUUUCUUGCUGAAUCGGAGAGUGGAUUGGGGGCUUUGUGCUGGUUGAAUGUUUGUAAGAAGUUAAUAUGGGAUAAGAAAUGGAUAGUUGAAAAGGACCUGGGUUAGGGAUAUCAGGAUAUCAGAAGUGAUGAAAAGAGAAGACUGAGUGUGAACUACAGGUUAGGGAUCCUGGGGAGGGAGAGCUUAGUGAAUAGACACUGAGUUGUUACUUCGGAGUGUAUGCAGGGCAAGAAAGCUACGCUGCUGAUGUCCUGGCCAAAUUUCCACCUCGGGUGACCUAAGGAUUUUAUUUUAUUUCAGUGGAAAGAAGAUACGCAGGGGGCCA
This 694-nucleotide long non-coding RNA is filed under the name Fukomys damarensis (Damara mole-rat). Its description in RNAcentral is "lncRNA (ENSFDAG00000032484.1)". Lineage: Eukaryota; Metazoa; Chordata; Mammalia; Rodentia; Bathyergidae. The record is from RNAcentral.